GAUGAACGCUGGCGGCGUGCCUAAUACAUGCAAGUCGAGCGAAUCAAAGGGAGCUUGCUCCCUGAGGUUAGCGGCGGACGGGUGAGUAACACGUGGGCAACCUGCCUAUAAGACUGGGAUAACUUCGGGAAACCGGAGCUAAUACCGGAUAAUUCAUAUCUACUCAUGUAGGUAUGCUGAAAGACGGUUUACGCUGUCACUUAUAGAUGGGCCCGCGGCGCAUUAGCUAGUUGGUGAGGUAACGGCUCACCAAGGCAACGAUGCGUAGCCGACCUGAGAGGGUGAUCGGCCACACUGGGACUGAGACACGGCCCAGACUCCUACGGGUGGCUG
RNAcentral lists this ribosomal RNA (333 nucleotides) under uncultured Bacillota bacterium. RNAcentral's name for it is "bacterial SSU rRNA". It matches the Rfam family "Bacterial small subunit ribosomal RNA", at positions 28 to 351 of the family's 1533-position model. Lineage: Bacteria; Bacillati; Bacillota. The record is from RNAcentral.